Molecule: ribosomal RNA, 429 nt
Filed under: Chloroflexota bacterium
Lineage: Bacteria; Bacillati; Chloroflexota
Description: Chloroflexi bacterium partial 16S ribosomal RNA
Rfam family: Bacterial small subunit ribosomal RNA
Source: RNAcentral
UGGGGAAUAUUGCACAAUGGGCGCAAGCCUGAUGCAGCCAUGCCGCGUGUAUGAAGAAGGCCUUCGGGUUGUAAAGUACUUUCAGCGGGGAGGAAGGGAGUAAAGUUAAUACCUUUGCUCAUUGACGUUACCCGCAGAAGAAGCACCGGCUAACUCCGUGCCAGCAGCCGCGGUAAUACGGAAGGUGCAAGCGUUAAUCGGAAUUACUGGGCGUAAAGCGCACGCAGGCGGUUUGUUAAGUCAGAUGUGAAAUCCCCGGGCUCAACCUGGGAACUGCAUCUGAUACUGGCAAGCUUGAGUCUCGUAGAGGGGGGUAGAAUUCCAGGUGUAGCGGUGAAAUGCGUAGAGAUCUGGAGGAAUACCGGUGGCGAAGGCGGCCCCCUGGACGAAGACUGACGCUCAGGUGCGAAAGCGUGGGGAGCAAACAGG